This is a ribosomal RNA of Lepisosteus oculatus (spotted gar), 119 nucleotides long. NCBI's taxonomy places the organism in Eukaryota, Metazoa, Chordata, Actinopteri, Semionotiformes, Lepisosteidae. The record is from Ensembl.
UCCAGCAGCCAUAUCACCCUGCAACUCACAACUGGCAACCCACUGAAGCUAAGCAGGUGUGAGCCUGGUCAGUACCUGGAUGGGAGACCUCCUGGGAAAAACUAAGGUUGCUGAAGGAA